This is a non-coding RNA of Podarcis lilfordi (Lilford's wall lizard), 961 nucleotides long. The record is from the annotation of a GenBank genome assembly. NCBI's taxonomy places the organism in Eukaryota, Metazoa, Chordata, Lepidosauria, Squamata, Lacertidae.
CCGUAACUCUCCAACAGUUUGAUUUCCUCCCCAAAGGGUGCAAUCUUCAAUUGCCUCCCAAGACAGAUGGAUGCCAAACCUAAAUCCAUCUUAUUAUACACACACAGAUCAACAUAUGCUGUCCUAAUAGGUACCCAGGCAAAGUUUUAAAAGUACAUACAAAUACAACAAGGGCAUUAAGGUCCUCUUCUAAAUUACAUUCUUGGUGACUUCAAGGGUGCUGAUUUUUGCUUCCUCCUCUCCCAGACCCUGAGAGCAGUAUUGGCAAAUGGAUUUUUGAUUCUCCUCUAAGCCAAAGGUGUCAGUCUGCAGAAUGGCAAAACUCUCAACUGCAAGGGACUUUGCCCUAGUUCCGCAGAUGUUCCAAAUGACUUCUAAACUACAGUACCUCUUAGGCUCUGCGUCAACUGCUUGAUCUGGCAAGAGUUGUCAGACAACUGAAGAUUUGGAGCCUCCAAGCCCUCCUCCGCCUUAUUCCCGGACAGCAUGUCUCUGUGAAUUUCCCUCCUUAUAUAAAACUAUUUAAGAACUUCUGCCAGCUGGCAGCGGGCUCUUUUCCCACCCAAAUCGGUAGUGCUUGAUGCUUUUAUGACUACUGCUCCAACAAGCAGUUAGCUGUGCCUUGCAGGGAGAUUUUAAUUCCCAUAGAUUUUUAAUUUCCAGUUUCCUAUUUUCCAUCAGAACUGUUGCAUAAGAAGAAGAAGAGGGUUUUGCCUCCCCCAAGCGGACUUUCUAGUCAAUUGCAUCUAGGAGCUGAAUUGUAGUGUUUUGAUUCAUUGUAAGCUGUUUUAUCUUCUUUGUUUGAAAUAAUGAAAAAACUUUAAAGGCAAAUAAAACCCCAAUCUCUAUUUUAAAAAAACGACAUGUUUCCCCCACAGACUGUUUUUAUAAUUAAUUUUUUUUAGUUAAGCACUGGUGUUUAGAAAAAGAUAAUGGAAAAGCUUAUUAUGUCAAAGAAGAU